This 447-nucleotide ribosomal RNA is filed under the name uncultured bacterium. Its description in RNAcentral is "bacterial SSU rRNA". It matches the Rfam family "Bacterial small subunit ribosomal RNA", at positions 329 to 793 of the family's 1533-position model. The record is from RNAcentral.
AUCCAGACUCCUACGGGAGGCAGCAGUGGGGAAUAUUGCACAAUGGGGGAAACCCUGAUGCAGCGACGCCGCGUGAGUGAAGAAGUAUUUCGUUAUGUAAAGCUCUAUCAGCAGGGAAGAAAAUGACGGUACCUGAGUAAGAAGCCCCGGCUAACUACGUGCCAGCAGCCGCGGUAAUACGUAGGGGGCAAGCGUUAUCCGGAUUUACUGGGUGUAAAGGGAGCGUAGACGGCAGUGCAAGUCUGGAGUGAAAGGCGGGGGCUCAACCCCAGGACUGCUUUGGAAACUGUACGGCUAGAGUGUAGGAGAGGUAAGUGGAAUUCCUGGUGUAGCGGUGAAAUGCGUAGAUAUCAGGAGGAACACCAGUGGCGAAGGCGGCUUACUGGACUGUAACUGACGUUGAGGCUCGAAAGCGUGGGGAGCAAACAGGAUUAGAUACCCCCGUAA